CGGGCUGUGGCGCAGGUUGGUAGCGCGCUCGGUUUGGGACCGAGAGGUCGCGGGUUCGAAUCCCGCCAGCCCGAC
This 75-nucleotide transfer RNA is filed under the name Cellulomonas aerilata. Its description in RNAcentral is "tRNA-Pro". It matches the Rfam family "tRNA". Rfam says of the family: Transfer RNA (tRNA) molecules are approximately 80 nucleotides in length. Their secondary structure includes four short double-helical elements and three loops (D, anti-codon, and T loops). Further hydrogen bonds mediate the characteristic L-shaped molecular structure. tRNAs have two regions of fundamental functional importance: the anti-codon, which is responsible for specific mRNA codon recognition, and the 3' end, to which the tRNAs corresponding amino acid is attached (by aminoacyl-tRNA synthetases). tRNAs cope with the degeneracy of the genetic code in two manners: having more than one tRNA (with a specific anti-codon) for a particular amino acid; and 'wobble' base-pairing, i.e. permitting non-standard base-pairing at the 3rd anti-codon position. The record is from RNAcentral. Lineage: Bacteria; Bacillati; Actinomycetota; Actinomycetes; Micrococcales; Cellulomonadaceae.